RNAcentral lists this ribosomal RNA (99 nucleotides) under uncultured bacterium. RNAcentral describes it as "partial 16S ribosomal RNA". It matches the Rfam family "Bacterial small subunit ribosomal RNA", at positions 1384 to 1482 of the family's 1533-position model. The record is from RNAcentral.
UACACACCGCCCGUCACACCAUGGGAGUGGGUUGCACCAGAAGUAGUUAGCUUAACCUUCGGGAGGGCGACUACCACGGUGUGAUUCAUGACUGGGGUG